Molecule: ribosomal RNA, 494 nt
Filed under: uncultured bacterium
Lineage: Bacteria
Description: partial 16S ribosomal RNA
Rfam family: Bacterial small subunit ribosomal RNA
Source: RNAcentral
GACGAACGCUGGCGGCGUGCUUAACACAUGCAAGUCGAACGGUGAAGCGCCUUCCUUUUUGGUGGGUGUGGAUGAGUGGCGAACGGGUGAGUAACACGUGAGUAACCUGCCCCCUUCUUCUGGAUAACCGCAUGAAAGUGUGGCUAAUACGGGAUAUUCUGGGUCUGUCGCAUGAUGGGUCUGGGAAAGAUAUUGUUUCGGUGGGGGAUGGGCUCGCGGCCUAUCAGCUUGUUGGUGGGGUGAUGGCCUACCAAGGCGGUGACGGGUAGCCGGCCUGGGAGGGUGGACGGUCACACUGGGACUGAGACACGGCGCAGACUCCUACGGGAGGCAGCAGUGGGGAAUAUUGCACAAUGGGCGCAAGCCUGAUGCAGCGACGCCGCGGGAGGGAUGGAGGCCUUCGGGUUGUGAACCUCUUUCGCCAGUGAAGCAGGCCUGCCUCGUUUGUGGGUGGGUUGACGGUAGCUGGAUAAGAAGCGCCGGCUAACUACGUG